UGUGAGCUUUCAUGUUCAAAUAUGAUGCAAAUUGCACACAUGCACACCCACAUGUGUUCACGCAAACACACUCUUGUCUGUCCUUUGAGGUUACGGUGGGGGUGAGAUGGCGCUGUAAUGAGCUGUCACUCACCAACAGCCCCGCAGUGGAGGAAGAAGGAAAACAGAUGCAUUUAUAAACAACAACAUGAAAAUCUAUAAGCACUUUGUUUUAGUAAUGGUUAUGGAGAGAGGAGCCGUCAGAUAAUGUCAGCAUCGCUGUUCAACGUUCAGCUCCCAGGACUCGUGACUGCAGAGAGAACUAAAAAAAGGAACGUGAGUUUUGGAGCGAUGGAAGAGGGGAGACAGUCGGGAAAGGGGAGAAAGAGGCAGCAAGCGCAGGAGGGAUGUCCCAUCUCGGAGUAAAGUCUGCCAGGCUUUAACCAAGGUCCCUACAUCAGUCAGAUUUAUGAAGAAAGGUCAUGACCAAAUCAAAACCUUGACCUAUCUAUGAGGAUACCAAUUUAUUAGCCCCCUGCUAGUGGGAGAGGGGAUGACUUGGCUGAAGCUAAUAUCCUCUAGCCCGGCCCAGCUUCACUGUAGACAUCUGGAUGACGACUAGCGCAGAGGUUGGUUGUAAUUUGUGAUUAGUCGGACGUUUUAAGCUUGUACUAUUUCCCAUCUUUGGCUUGUGCAGCUCUCGGUUCAUAAAAGUCACAAUCCAUUUAAAGCGUGCGGUGUCACUGUAGCAGACUGAAUUCCCAACCCUGUGUUGACGGCCUUUUUCCGGCCACAUCACUUUCAAUUAUUUGCAUGCUACCAAGAAAAAAACCCCCAUCUUACCCCGUUGAACAGCCUUGAAAAAAACACUAAACGUUGUAUCACUGACACAUAAUGACAUCCAAAGUGAACACAUCAGCAAAUGCUUAAGAUGUGAAAACAGUAACUCAGCACAGAGCAAGAGGAACGUGCCCGUAGCUAAUAGAAACAUGCGUCAUCAUCAAUUUGCGCCCUCUUCAGAAAACUAUGACUCAUGGGGGAUGCUUAUAAAAAGCAUGCCCCCGUGUUAGCCCCAGUGUCCCUUCCUAAACCGAGUCUGUCCAUAAAUUAUAGACAGGAUGAAAUGCAGCUCUCUGUUUGACAGCCCUUAAUUUCCCCCUCCCAGAGAGACCCAGCACAAAGACAUAUUUGCUGUUUUUCUGUCUUGUCUCUCUCAGAACGAGACCAAAAGGAUGAAAAGAACUACACCAAAAUGAAUUCCCCCCGAAGACAUAAAAAAAUAUAUCAGUGAAUAAUAAAGAAGUGCAGCAGGAGAAAAAGUGCAAAGUCACAGAGAGAGAGAGACAAGAAGACUAAAAGUCUUUUCAUUUUCCCUUCACCACCAGUUGCCUCCUGGUUGUCAUGACAACAUCUUAUCCCGGGGCUGGUCGACUCCCUCUGGGGGCAGCUGGGAAAUCAGGACACCAGGAGAGGAAAGACACGCGGCUGUCUCGUAUAAGUGCUGCUGUAAUCCCAUUAAUCUGUGGCAGAGUGAUUAACACGUACAGUAGCAUUAGGAUGCGACAACAGACGAAUGUCGUUUUACUGACAGAAUCAUGGGAAGAUUGAUAUGACUGUGGAAUUUUCAAUAUACGCUUCAAAUGCUGGGGAGUGCAGAGCUGGGGGAAAAGAGUGAAAUGGAAGGAAAACACUCCAGGGAACGAGCAAAAAAGCAGAAGGCUGACAUGAAGUGAUACAUGGCUGGUAAUAAGUGAGAAAUAAAAGAAGAAGAAAAAAGUGGAAGAAAUAAAAACAGCAUUCUUUUACCC
Cynoglossus semilaevis (tongue sole) is the source of this 1787-nucleotide long non-coding RNA. RefSeq lists it as uncharacterized. Lineage: Eukaryota; Metazoa; Chordata; Actinopteri; Pleuronectiformes; Cynoglossidae. The transcript has 4 exons. The record is from RefSeq and is a predicted model, not a curated record.